This 69-nucleotide ribosomal RNA is filed under the name Schistosoma japonicum. Its description in RNAcentral is "partial 5.8S ribosomal RNA". The stretch from base 21 to 69 matches the Rfam family "5.8S ribosomal RNA", at positions 1 to 49 of the family's 154-position model. Rfam says of the family: 5.8S ribosomal RNA (5.8S rRNA) is a component of the large subunit of the eukaryotic ribosome. It is transcribed by RNA polymerase I as part of the 45S precursor that also contains 18S and 28S rRNA. Functionally, it is thought that 5.8S rRNA may be involved in ribosome translocation. Lineage: Eukaryota; Metazoa; Platyhelminthes; Trematoda; Strigeidida; Schistosomatidae. The record is from RNAcentral.
GUAUAGAGUUACUGGCGUACAACUUUGAGCGGUGGAUCACUCGGCUCGUGUGUCGAUGAAGAGUGCAGC